Molecule: ribosomal RNA, 517 nt
Filed under: Saccharomyces cerevisiae (brewer's yeast)
Lineage: Eukaryota; Fungi; Ascomycota; Saccharomycetes; Saccharomycetales; Saccharomycetaceae
Description: eukaryotic LSU rRNA
Rfam family: Eukaryotic large subunit ribosomal RNA
Source: RNAcentral
CUGGUACCUUCGGUGCCCGAGUUGUAAUUUGGAGAGGGCAACUUUGGGGCCGUUCCUUGUCUAUGUUCCUUGGAACAGGACGUCAUAGAGGGUGAGAAUCCCGUGUGGCGAGGAGUGCGGUUCUUUGUAAAGUGCCUUCGAAGAGUCGAGUUGUUUGGGAAUGCAGCUCUAAGUGGGUGGUAAAUUCCAUCUAAAGCUAAAUAUUGGCGAGAGACCGAUAGCGAACAAGUACAGUGAUGGAAAGAUGAAAAGAACUUUGAAAAGAGAGUGAAAAAGUACGUGAAAUUGUUGAAAGGGAAGGGCAUUUGAUCAGACAUGGUGUUUUGUGCCCUCUGCUCCUUGUGGGUAGGGGAAUCUCGCAUUUCACUGGGCCAGCAUCAGUUUUGGUGGCAGGAUAAAUCCAUAGGAAUGUAGCUUGCCUCGGUAAGUAUUAUAGCCUGUGGGAAUACUGCCAGCUGGGACUGAGGACUGCGACGUAAGUCAAGGAUGCUGGCAUAAUGGUUAUAUGCCGCCCGUC